UUUUUUUAAGAAGUUGGUGUU
Molecule: non-coding RNA, 21 nt
Filed under: Caenorhabditis elegans
Lineage: Eukaryota; Metazoa; Nematoda; Chromadorea; Rhabditida; Rhabditidae
Source: RNAcentral